CUCCGCUGGCCCGCGUGAAACCCUCUCUGCUGCCUCGACUGACUGUCGUUUCCGUGUCUUGAUUGUGGCCUCUGCCUCUCCCCCUUCCGAUUUCGUUCGACUUCUUUCUACAGUUACUAAGCGCCCACUGUGUGCCCUGGAAGGGACUAGACUUAGCAGGAAAAACAUCCAGGCAAGUGGACAGCAUUUGCAUCAGCCCAGCAAUAAGAAGGACCAUAUUCUACUUGGGAAAAGCCUGCCAGGAAACCUGUCAUUCAACCCUUCGCAAUAAAACAGCUCCUCAUGAAUGAAGCAAAAUAAAUCAGAAGUUGUGGGCUUUUAAACUCACUAAAUGAAAGCCCAGCAUGCAUGCAGCCUCCCUCCAAAUUAAUCACCAGAUUAAAUGCAAGAUGUGCACACCAAAUCAAUAGCUUGUGACACAGACCUCCUGCCUGUGCUUCAGGAAAAUUCCAUUUCCUUUCAGAUGUUGUCGCUUGAAAUGUCAGGAAGUUUCCAUUCAUCACCCGCCCUUGAAAAUGCCACCAUCACCAUACUUCAUGUUUCCUUGCUUUCUUUCUUCAGAGGAAUCCAAGCACCUUGCAGAGGGAGCCCACUCCUUGUCACAG
Molecule: long non-coding RNA, 605 nt
Filed under: Pan troglodytes (chimpanzee)
Lineage: Eukaryota; Metazoa; Chordata; Mammalia; Primates; Hominidae
Description: lincRNA
Source: RNAcentral